Long non-coding RNA from Pseudoliparis swirei, 1144 nucleotides. RefSeq lists it as uncharacterized. Lineage: Eukaryota; Metazoa; Chordata; Actinopteri; Perciformes; Liparidae. The transcript is spliced from 3 exons. The record is from RefSeq and is a predicted model, not a curated record.
GUCAGAUUUCAUAUGGCCCGCGACAUCGGUCAUAUAAUGUGUUAUUUGUGGCCCGCCAGAUCUGUCAGAAUAAAUAAAUCAUAAAAACUUGAAAGACGUAAUUCCUCCUUUCUAAUGUAUCUGGCUCUGCAUCCGUGGCGUGAACCCUUCUCGAAACCUAUUUGCCAUGGCGACGGCAAAAAAAAGGAGAAAAGUUGACAGUGAGGGCCGCCGCUUUCAGGAGCGGUGGGAAUUACGAGUGUUUCCCCUCCCAUGAGAACAGAGUGGGGGUCCGCCCCACUGACAUGUUCUCUAUAGCGCCAGAUUACAACAUAAGUAAUGUCAGGUUGUUUUAUUCAACUAAACGGUCGUAUUUUAUUGAUCGUAUCGACACAGCGGCAUGUCAUUUCUGUCUCUACGUGGUGGCAUUCACACUUCUCCUGGCUCUCGGUAUCUCGGCGGAGCUCCGCCCCCAUGCGCACAGACAGGUGCGCACAUACAGGUGAGCGCGCUCCAACCAGCCGGCAGAGAGCGUCCAAUAUGUCGCGGGAACAGCAAACCGACACCUCUGCGUUCCCACGGUGGUGAAGACACGUCGUCUCAGAGUAGCUCUCUGCUCCGGGUUCAAGAGCAGAGACGAGUUUACCACGGUGUUGCCAGGCGGUGGAGCAGCUCGCUUUCUUCUGCAAGAGAGCAGAAACCCCAGCAAAGGAUCAAUACCUCUGAAGAAACAAUACAGGGACGUGAUCUCACUCCUUUAUGUCUUCGUAGCCCUUCCUCUCCAGCCAGCGCAGCCUCAAAUGCAAUUUGCAGUCUCUAAAUGUACCGCUUUUUCCCCUCUCUCCUACAUUGCUCUAAUCUGUGUGCCUGAAUGCCACAGUUAAAACAAGAUGGGAGAAAUGAUCUCAGGGUAUCAAUCGUAAGAGAUGAAGCAAGCUCAUCUCCAAGGGAAAUGAACUCUGCGAAUGAGAGUCAUUCCCCUAAAUCUGAUACUCCUGUGGCUGUUGGACAUCACGCUGUGAUGAGUCCCUGUGAGGGAAGCCCUCUCCCUCAUCCACUUACCUCCGUCACUCUUCUAUAGUUCUUAGAAAAUCCUUUUUUUGUGUGUAAUCAUAAUCCCAUCAUUGCUAUUGAGACAGUUAAUGCAGCAAAAUGGCUCUUAAAG